RNAcentral lists this ribosomal RNA (491 nucleotides) under uncultured bacterium. RNAcentral describes it as "partial 16S ribosomal RNA". It matches the Rfam family "Bacterial small subunit ribosomal RNA", at positions 29 to 507 of the family's 1533-position model. The record is from RNAcentral.
GUGAACGCUGGCGGUAGGCCUAACACAUGCAAGUCGAACGGCAGCACAGUAAGAGCUUGCUCUUACGGGUGGCGAGUGGCGGACGGGUGAGGAAUACAUCGGAAUCUACUUUUUCGUGGGGGAUAACGUAGGGAAACUUACGCUAAUACCGCAUACGACCUACGGGUGAAAGCAGGGGAUCUUCGGACCUUGCGCGAUUGAAUGAGCCGAUGUCGGAUUAGCUAGUUGGCGGGGUAAAGGCCCACCAAGGCGACGAUCCGUAGCUGGUCUGAGAGGAUGAUCAGCCACACUGGAACUGAGACACGGUCCAGACUCCUACGGGAGGCAGCAGUGGGGAAUAUUGGACAAUGGGCGCAAGCCUGAUCCAGCCAUACCGCGUGGGUGAAGAAGGCCUUCGGGUUGUAAAGCCCUUUUGUUGGGAAAGAAAUCCAGCCGGCUAAUACCUGGUUGGGAUGACGGUACCCAAAGAAUAAGCACCGGCUAACUUCGUG